Molecule: long non-coding RNA, 412 nt
Organism: Dermacentor silvarum
Lineage: Eukaryota; Metazoa; Arthropoda; Arachnida; Ixodida; Ixodidae
Exons: 3
Source: RefSeq, a predicted model, not a curated record
AGAGGCGUUCGUGCCGACGCGGAGUUAGAUGUGCGACCCGGACCGGACGCCAGACGCGUGCUCCUGAGACCAACCGCACAUCGACGUAUAGUCCUCCGGGCAGACGCGGAUUCCGUUGCGAAACUGCAGGUCUUCUGAAAGCCACUUCCAAAGAAAGAAUGAAGAGACAAAGGAAACAAGCUGUACCACGCAGUGUGCUUCCUGAGGAUACUUCGGCGCAGUUGGAAAGACUCGAGCGUAUGAUCGACUUCAUCCUACGAAUUCUGCUAGACGUCCUGGUGGUCCUCAUCGAUCUGUGCCGCAGUCUUCGAACAAGGGCAUAAACGCUGCCCUGUCCCGUGGACGUCGGAAUUUCUUUCCCUUUAUUUCAUGUACAUUAAGCAAUAACUCUUGAUCACAUGAAUAAACCCUG